UACGAAGGGGGCUAGCGUUGUUCGGAAUUACUGGGCGUAAAGCGCACGUAGGCGGAUAUUUAAGUCAGGGGUGAAAUCCCGCAGCUCAACUGCGGAACUGCCUUUGAUGCUGGGUAUCUUGAGUAUGGAAGAGGUUAGUGGAAUUGCGAGUGUAGAGGUGAAAUUCGUAGAUAUUCGCAGGAACACCAGUGGCGAAGGCGGCUAACUGGUCCAUAACUGACGCUGAGGUGCGAAAGCGUGGGGAGCAAACAGG
RNAcentral lists this ribosomal RNA (253 nucleotides) under uncultured bacterium. RNAcentral describes it as "partial 16S ribosomal RNA". It matches the Rfam family "Bacterial small subunit ribosomal RNA", at positions 524 to 776 of the family's 1533-position model. The record is from RNAcentral.